GAUGAACGCUGGCGGCGUGCCUAAUACAUGCAAGUCGAGCGAACAGACGAGGAGCUUGCUCCUCUGCCGUUAGCGGCGGACGGGUGAGUAACACGUGGAUAACCUACCUAUAAGACUGGGAUAACUUCGGGAAACCGGAGCUAAUACCGGAUCAUAUAUUGAACCGCAUGGUUCAAUAGUGAAAGACGGUUUUGCUGUCACUUAUAGAUGGAUCCGCGCCGCAUUAGCUAGUUGGUAAGGUAACGGCUUACCAAGGCAACGAUGCGUAGCCGACCUGAGAGGGUGAUCGGCCACACUGGAACUGAGACACGGUCCAGACUCCUACGGGAGGCAGCAGUAGGGAAUCUUCCGCAAUGGGCGAAAGCCUGACGGAGCAACGCCGCGUGAGUGAUGAAGGUCUUCGGAUCGUAAAACUCUGUUAUUAGGGAAGAACAAAUGUGUAAGUAACUAUGCACGUCUUGACGGUACCUAAUCAGAAAGCCACGGCUAACUACGUG
RNAcentral lists this ribosomal RNA (497 nucleotides) under uncultured bacterium. Its description in RNAcentral is "partial 16S ribosomal RNA". It matches the Rfam family "Bacterial small subunit ribosomal RNA", at positions 28 to 507 of the family's 1533-position model. The record is from RNAcentral.